GUGAUCUGUAGGUUCCACAUCCACAGAAUGAACCAAUUGCAGAUGGAAAAUAUUUGUGAAAAAAAAAAAUCCAAAAAGUUCCAAAAAGCAAAACUUGAAUUUACAGUGUGUCAAGUACCAUAUUGUAUCUGUGCCAAUGAAGUGAUAUGUAGGUAAAGUAUUUAUAAGGAAUACAGAGAUGACAGAGGGCAUGGGAGGAUGCACAUAGUUAUAUAUCAAUAUUGUACCAUUUUAUGUAAAAGACUUGAACAUCUGUGGAUUUGAAUAUCCACAGUGGGUGUGGAAGUCCCAGAUUCCCAGUAUUUCCUGCAGAUACUGAGGGACAGCUAUACGUCUCUGUCUACAUUAAGCAUCAUGAGUUCAUAUUGAUACCUCUCAUUUCAGCCUAACACUGUGGGAUUUAUUUUAGUCUUUCCUCUGACGUAUUUGUAAUUCCCUUCUGCAAGAAGAAGAAAUCUGGCUUCUCUUAUCCUCAACGUAUUGACUUAUUUGUUUCAACCCUAUGUACUACUAAUUUCCCGGCUUGUGGGUACUGCUAGCCACCCCAGCCACACUGGUGGAGCCCUCACCCUGACCCCACCGUGCACACAGUGGGCCAGCUGGAAGGCUUGGCUCUGCCAAAUACACUGACCAUGCUGGCCAAACCUUUGACUUUUUAAACUUAGAUGAAUUAUAAGCAAAAAGUUGAGACAAAGUAUUUCCUGAAAUUUGAAAACAAGGAUAUUAAAAUUUUUAGUUAUUCAGUCACUUUGUCUGGGUUCUGUUCUUAUUCAC
This 774-nucleotide long non-coding RNA is filed under the name Marmota monax (woodchuck). The record is from RNAcentral. Lineage: Eukaryota; Metazoa; Chordata; Mammalia; Rodentia; Sciuridae.